GCCGGGGUGGCCCAGCCAGGUGAAGGCGGCAGGUUGCUAACCUGUUGGCGCGUAAGCGCUUCCAGGGUUCAAAUCCCUGCCCCGGCGCCA
RNAcentral lists this transfer RNA (90 nucleotides) under Hadesarchaea archaeon B3_Hades. Its description in RNAcentral is "tRNA-Ser". It matches the Rfam family "tRNA". From Rfam's summary of the family: Transfer RNA (tRNA) molecules are approximately 80 nucleotides in length. RNAcentral also lists the same sequence under 1 other name. The record is from RNAcentral. Lineage: Archaea; Methanobacteriati; Hadarchaeota (SeqCode); Hadarchaeia (SeqCode).